This 547-nucleotide ribosomal RNA is filed under the name Hyla annectans gongshanensis. Its description in RNAcentral is "partial 16S ribosomal RNA". It matches the Rfam family "Bacterial large subunit ribosomal RNA", at positions 1857 to 2604 of the family's 2925-position model. Lineage: Eukaryota; Metazoa; Chordata; Amphibia; Anura; Hylidae. The record is from RNAcentral.
GCCUGCCCAGUGACUCUGUUCAACGGCCGCGGUAUCCUAACCGUGCGAAGGUAGCGUAAUCACUUGUUCUUUAAAUGAGGACUAGUAUGAAUGGCACCACGAAGGUUACACUGUCUCCCUUUUCUAAUCAGUGAAACUAAUCUCUCCGUGAAGAAGCGGAGAUAAACAUAUAAGACGAGAAGACCCUAUGGAGCUUUAAACUUAAUAACAUUUCCUUAAAAUACCCACACUCCAGAGUAACUAACAUUUAUUACAGCCUUCUGAUUAUUAGUUUUAGGUUGGGGUGACCGCGGAGCAAAAAAUAACCUCCACAUUGAAUGGGGAACUCCCCUGAGCCACGAGCUACAACUCUACGCACCAAUAAAUUGACAUCAAUUGACCCAAUAUAUUGAUCAACGAACCAAGUUACCCUAGGGAUAACAGCGCAAUCCGCUUCAAGAGCUCCUAUCGACAAGCGGGUUUACGACCUCGAUGUUGGAUCAGGGUAUCCCAGUGGUGCAGCCGCUACUAAAGGUUCGUUUGUUCAACGAUUAAAACCCUACGUGAC